AGAAGAAGAAGAAGAAGUAAUACAACCACCUCCAUCCCCUUUCUCCGUUCCCUGCCACGCAUUGAAUCAACUCACUGCUAUUGCUCAAACAUCCCAACAAUGGGAAUGAUUUGGAGUUUUGAUUGUUGAUCGUUAUAGAGUCUAUCCUUUAUCAAGUCUUUACCAUAUCCCACCACAGAGGUCUGGCCACUAGGAGCUGGACUUGAUAGCAUAAAUCCCCGAGUAAAUAUAACUCCUCCAAUUUAUGUUGGCCAACAAGCUGGGACACUACAUUCAGCAGAUUAAAAUUCCAACCUUUGAAGUUCAAAAUCAAGAAUAAUUUCAUCAAAUGAUGAUAUGGAACACAGGCAUAGCAUUAAAACAAUUUGAAGCUAGUAUAUUCAAAUCCAAAUACCAGUAACAGUUUAAUUCCAUCCAAAUUCAUAUCACUAAAAUAGUUAGUUUAAAAACAAAGAAAUACCUCCGCUUCAAUUCCACAAAAUUUACCGAAGGAAACCUAUUUCGCCCAAGCAAUUCAUUGUUCAAUCUUCGAUAUAAUAAACCCUGAAAUAUAAAUAAUCAAGCAAAUACUAAGUACAUAUUUUCCUAAAAAAUAUAACUCCAAAAAAAUGCUGCAAGAUACUAUACCAAACGCAUUCAAUAUCUGAAGUUGAGAGUUGAAA
This 662-nucleotide long non-coding RNA is filed under the name Olea europaea (common olive). RNAcentral's name for it is "long non-coding RNA (OEUR_LNC000222)". Lineage: Eukaryota; Viridiplantae; Streptophyta; Magnoliopsida; Lamiales; Oleaceae. The record is from RNAcentral.